RNAcentral lists this ribosomal RNA (253 nucleotides) under uncultured bacterium. Its description in RNAcentral is "partial 16S ribosomal RNA". It matches the Rfam family "Bacterial small subunit ribosomal RNA", at positions 524 to 776 of the family's 1533-position model. The record is from RNAcentral.
UACGGAGGGUGCGAGCGUUGUCCGGAAUCACUGGGCGUAAAGGGCGCGUAGGCGGCCUGAUAAGUAGGGGGCGAAAUCCUGCGGCUUAACCGCAGGGCUGCCUUCUAAACUGUCAGGCUAGAGCACAGUAGAGGCAGGUGGAAUUCCCGGUGUAGCGGUGGAAUGCGUAGAGAUCGGGAAGAACAUCAGUGGCGAAGGCGGCCUGCUGGGCUGUUGCUGACGCUGAGGCGCGACAGCGUGGGGAGCAAACAGG